Long non-coding RNA from Salvelinus fontinalis (brook trout), 609 nucleotides. RefSeq lists it as uncharacterized. NCBI's taxonomy places the organism in Eukaryota, Metazoa, Chordata, Actinopteri, Salmoniformes, Salmonidae. The record is from RefSeq and is a predicted model, not a curated record. The transcript is spliced from 3 exons.
GUUGUGGCAGUGAGAGAGAAAGCACGGUACAGACUCCAAGGUUGGGUAGUUUAUGCUAUUUGCUUCACUUUCUGCAGGUAAAUGCUAACAUGUGGGGAGAAGGGUUUUGGGUGCUGAAGACAUUAAGACCUGGUGGCCGCCUACAGGAGGUGAAUGCAGUCCGGAGGCGUGGUGGAGCCCAGGUUUUUCUAGGGCAUGUAGGGCUUUGUUUGCGUCACGGCUCUUUACCCUCGGGUUUUUGACCUGGGACUCAGAGAUAUCGACAUGCUCCCAAGCUUCCUGCAGCUGAUGCGGCACCCUCCUGUUCCUGGACAGGAGAGUGUUGGCCUGCUCCUCCUGGGAUAUGCCACUCUCAAGCUCACGCACCUGGAAUAUUGAUACAAUAUUAUCUCAAUCUAUUUCCCCAUGUUUAACCAGGCCUGAACUUUUCCACACACUUAGAUACUGCUUAACUCCAGUCCAAGUAUUUGUAAAAGAGAACAAUUGAUGGGAAUUUAAGCUAAGAUGUAUAACGCUGUUGCACUUGAGCUUUUUCUAAAAUAGGAUCAUGUGUAGAAAAAAGUAUUGUGCACUCAUUCCACAUAGCAUAAAGUCACAAUAAAAAAAGAU